GACGAACGCUGGCGGCGUGCUUAACACAUGUAAGUCGAGCGAUGAAGUUUCUUCGGAAAUGGAUUAGCGGCGAACGGGUGAGGAACACGUGAAGAAUCUGCCCUCCACUUUGGGAUAACACAGGGAAACCUGUGCUAAUACCGAAUAUUGAAACAUAAGUGGCAUCACUGAGUUUUGAAAGAAUUUCGGUGGAGGAUGACUUCGCGGCCUAUCAGCUAGUUGGUGAGGUAAUGGCUCACCAAGGCAACGACGGGUAGCCGGCCUGAGAGGGCGACCGGCCACACUGGGACUGAGACACGGCCCAGACUCCUACGGGAGGCAGCAGUGGGGGAUAUUGGGCAAUGGAGGAAACUCUGACCCAGCGACGCCGCGUGCGGGAUGAAGGCCUUCGGGUUGUAAACCGCUUUCAGUAGGGAAGAAGCGAAAGUGACGGUACCUACAAAAGAAGCACCGGCUAACUAUGUGCCAGCCGCCGCAGUAA
Molecule: ribosomal RNA, 481 nt
Filed under: uncultured bacterium
Lineage: Bacteria
Description: partial 16S ribosomal RNA
Rfam family: Bacterial small subunit ribosomal RNA
Source: RNAcentral